CAGAGUAGUUAAGCCCGCCUGCGCAGAUGGUACUGCAGUUAUGUGGGAGAGUAUGUCGUCGCCUUUC
This 67-nucleotide ribosomal RNA is filed under the name Flavobacterium frigoris. Lineage: Bacteria; Pseudomonadati; Bacteroidota; Flavobacteriia; Flavobacteriales; Flavobacteriaceae. The record is from RNAcentral.